RNAcentral lists this long non-coding RNA (264 nucleotides) under Lathyrus oleraceus (garden pea). Its description in RNAcentral is "Pisum sativum (pea) long non-coding RNA (PSAT_LNC012240)". Lineage: Eukaryota; Viridiplantae; Streptophyta; Magnoliopsida; Fabales; Fabaceae. The record is from RNAcentral.
CAAAGUGUCCUAGGUACUCCUAGGGAGUCCUUUUUUAUGUGUGCAUGUGUUUUUGGUAUAAAGGAUGUUUGAUAAGAAUAUAAAGUGUGGGGAUGAGAAAAGAAUUCAUUGAUUAUAUUUUUGUGUUUGACAAGACCUUUGGUCUUAUGCCUACGUACGAACAUAAAAACGAGGGAUCAAAACCCCGUAGUUCGUGGUAAAAAUUGCAAAGAAGUUUAUGAAUUUAUUUUAACAAAAGUUUAAAUGAAAAGGCGUAAAAGGCCA